UGAUGAUGACUCUGUAACCAUACAGAAAAUCUGAAGUGAGUUGGUGACCUGUUUCUGGGACGGAAUGACCCUUUUGCAGAAAGCAGUAAAAGGGGUUGCGAAGUCAUGAUGCGUGAGUCUGGGACAGACCGGGCGAUGAGCGGCACUUACGAUGGACGCGACUCGGAGAUGGACGGGAGGCCCAGUGCGGAAGCCCCAGGUGCCCCUGAUCUCCCCCAUCUGCAGCAGCAGCAGCAGCAGCAACUACAGCUUCCAGUGUCAGUCGCCAUGACAACCCCCCAGGUCUUGACUGCACAGCAGAUGCAACAGAUGCUGAGCCCUCAACAAGUCCAGGUCUUGCUCCAGCAGCAACAGGCCCUUAUGGUACAGCAGCAGCACCUGCAGGAGUUUUACAAGAGUCAGCAGGACCAGCUUCACCUAAAUCUCCUGCAGCAGCAGCAGCCACAUGCAGGGAAGCCAGCUAAAGCAGUAAGUUGUGCUCUUGUAUGCGCUGACCAUGUGUGUCAUUCUCAGUCAGGAAACUGUGCAAGCAGUGUCAUUCACUGAGUCUGGGAAUCUGACCAGCUGUGUCUUUCAUUCAUUUGUUCAGUCAGGGAAACUGACCUGCAGUAGUAUUCACUCCGUCACUCAGUCAGCUGUCUGUCAAAGUGCACUGUUCAUCUGGCCAUCUAGCCAUUAAUUGAACUACAGGAAAAACAUGGAAGAGCUGUGAAUCUCUGGAGACUGACAUUUUGCUGCUAUUCCAUUUCUUUACGGUGCAGUCGUUCUAAGGUAUGUUAAAACACCCAAGGCUACAGGACUUACCAUUGCACAACUCUGAAAUGGUUCAGUAAAUGUCUGAUGUGUGCAUUAUACCGCAAAUUUGGCGAGUACCUCAAGAAUGGAAUUUCUGCUGCGCAAAUAAUAUAAUUUUCUCAGGGAAAUCCCUCACUCUCGACGGAAACCUGUAAACCCCCAUAAACAUGAAUCACGACAUUCGCCCAGCAGGGACACUUCAGCUAAUCACCUGUAUGUUUCAGCCUCACUUUGUGAUACAAGACACGUCUGCGGGCUGACACAAGAGCCCACACUUCCUCAACCCCGUCUUUCCAUCACCUUUCUGUCCCACUAGCACUUUUUAUGCUUAGGGAGGAAACUGAAACUGGAGGAGGUACAACAGCCAGCUGAAUGAAGACUUGCGUGUACUGUAGGAACACAGGAAACUCCUGCCCCUGGUCACAGCUCGGAUUUCUGGCAGCCGCCGAGGCCUGUUUUCCCCACAGUGGGUCUGUCUUUCAGCAGCUGCCUGGCAGUUAGUGACCCUCUGGCUGCUUUUUGCCGCCUGUGACAAUAAGAGCUUUCUGAGACCUUGAACUCUCUAUUCAGAGUGUGAGAUGAAAGGGUGAGUACUGUUCUGGCACCCACCCUCUCAAAGGUUGCUUGAUUUCACUGGAUGCUCUCUUAGUUCUGGAAGCUGCUGACUUGACCCCAGUUCAGAAGCAAGAAGGGGGGAGUAUAAGCCUUGCCCUCAGCGCAUCUGUCUGUGGGUGUGAAGGCUGUUUAAAUGCUGUCGUAAUGGCUGGGUUCCUCCUGAAAUCCAGUCACUGGCUUUGCAUUUAGAAGAAACUGCGAUGCGAAUCACUGACCCCAGUUUUCCAUACAUAGAAGGUAUGCCUUUAAAGCCUUUAAUAUAUACAAGAUGGACAAAAUAUUGAUGUUUCUGGGUUAAUAGAAUGUUGCCCACAGACCCUGUACUCCAGCAACAUUUGUCACAUAACAAAGUAGUUUACGUCAUUCGCAUUAUGAUUUUUGCCAUCUGGGUUCAUUAUAUGCCACAUACCCUGGUUAUUAAAGGAACAACCAGCCAAUGUCCACAACCGCUUGUCUUGAGCAGGGUCGCGGCAAGCUGGAGCCAAGCCGGCAACACAGGGUGCAGGGCCGUAGGGGGAGGGGAGACACCCUAGAUGGGACGCCAGUCCACCGCAGGGCUCGAACCCCAGACUGGCUAUACAGUGGGCACUGGCCAAACCUGCCAUGCCACUUCACCCCCCAUAGUGAACAGGAUUACAGUAAAUAAGUAAAACUCGAUAUUCAAAAUAUGAUAAAAGUGUAAUAAAAUCUGAGAAGGUGCUGUCGGGAAGUACUCU
Molecule: long non-coding RNA, 2126 nt
Filed under: Scleropages formosus (Asian bonytongue)
Lineage: Eukaryota; Metazoa; Chordata; Actinopteri; Osteoglossiformes; Osteoglossidae
Description: lncRNA (ENSSFOG00015026199.1)
Source: RNAcentral